Long non-coding RNA from Equus caballus (horse), 2354 nucleotides. Lineage: Eukaryota; Metazoa; Chordata; Mammalia; Perissodactyla; Equidae. The record is from Ensembl.
GUGCUUGACCCUGAGGUCAGGGGUAAGAGAGGAGCCAGCGAGGGAGUGGGGUCAGGGGAUGGGACAAAAUCUAGAGCUGCCCAGAAGCCUUUCCUGGUGGCCUGCCCAGCUGUGUCAGCACUGCUGCAGGGUCCAGAGCUGUGAGGACAGAGGCAAGACGCGGGCCGGCGGUGUUCAGUGCGGAUGCUCAGCUGCCUUCCGGGGGCCGCGCUCAGUGUACCCGGCAUGUCCACGUCAUUUUUGUACUAAGACAGGAUCGGAUGGUCCGCCCCGGUUUUGUGCGAUCCCUUUGCAGCAGGAAGCCUUCUGAAGUUUGCACAACACAUCUCCUUCAGGAGGACGUGGACCUCACCUAUGGAAGCUGGGACCAGGGUGAGGCCACUACACCCAUCGUGGGAGGAAGGAGCCGUGGAAGAGGCAGGGACCUGCCGUGACCAUGAGCCUAGGCCCUGCUCCUUCUUCUGUGAGCCGGACAGUCGCUGGGCCCUGCCCUGGAACCGUCCAUCCCCAGGGAGGAAGAACACGGUAAUGAUCAUGUGAACAGCAGGGUAAUUUCAGCCAGGUGAGGACAGAGUCGCAUGGGCCGGUGGCGGGGGGCGGUGUUCUUUUAGAUGGGCCUCAUCUGUUCUCCAUCAGCCCUCAGGACCCCGUUUUAUAGCCCAAGAGCUGGGCUCAGUUAGCAACUCGCCCGCAGUCACAAAGCAAAGCACGAACCCCAGGCUGACCCCGAAAUCCGAGCCCCCCACCCCCAACUCCCACCAUUAGUGGAGAGAAGCAGACAGAGCAGAGAAGGAAGCCGUCAUCCCUGGCCCUGACCCCUCGCCUGGCUUCCUUGCUGCCCUGCCGGCUUCCACAGUCACCUCCUGCAGCCCGUCUCCACCCAGCAGCCUAGCAGUGCCUCCUCCAAGCGUGCCAGCCCCAACUCAGGCCUUCCAAUGGCCUGCAGGUCCAGAGGCCCUGUAGAAGCAGCAGCUAUAAUGGGGGGUGUUAAUGAAGCCCGUAAGGAACCUGGGAUCUGAGACCGAGGGGAGGGGCAGGAAGGCCUCUCAGAGCCUGAGGGAGAGAGCGCGUGUUCAUAGAUGUUGCCGCGUCCUCCGUUUCCUCCUGAACUGAGAUCUGGGCCGCCGGUGGAAGGGCAGGUGUUGGCAGCCUGGGAGGAGCAGUGGGACCCGGUCUGCGCGUCCACCUCUGCGGGAGGAGCGGACGGAGGCCGCCCUCUGGGGACGUGGAAAGGCCUUCGGGAGCCUCGAGAGAACACAGCUCCUGGGAACAGGCUGCUGUGUCUCUCAAGGGCAGAGGGUGGCCUCGUGGGCAGCCCCAUUUCAGACUGGCGUCAAGAAACCAGACUGGCUCCAGAUCCCCCCUGAAUGACUGUGCAACUGCGGGCAAGUCUCGCCCUCUGUUAGGCUCAGUCACCACAGCCCAAAGUGAGGGGCCAGAUGACACCUGGCGCCCCGCCAGCUCUUUAAUUGUUCCUUCUUCUGCUGAGCCCAGAGUCUCCCCUGGGAGUUAUUUGGAGGAGCCCCAGGGAGCUGGAAUCCUAGUGGUGACCAGCAUCCCCCCAAGUGCAGCUGGGGUCAGGGCGCCAGGCCACGGCGGAGCAGGAGGGGGACGGACCAGGUCCCAGGAGGAAGAAGAACACAGGCCACGGAUUUCGUUUUUUUUUUCUUUCUUUACUAUUUUUCUCUUUUUAAUUACUGCCGGUCUUCCAGUGUUAAUAAGAGCACUGACUUAGCUCAUGUGCAGAAUCGUCAGACUGACACCAUUGGGAUCUCAUCGCCGGUAUGUACAUACGGACCGAGUUUCGUUCUUACCGGAACAGUGAAACACCGCACCAAACUAACUCAACCGUUUCUACUUCACUUCUGGAUUCCACCCAGACUCUGUAUGGAAGCUGGCGGCUCCCUCAACGUGCUCACCCUGAAUCUCACUGCACUCUCCCCCACACGGUGUGGGUCCCCAAGAACUCUGCACACGUGGGGCAUCUCAAACGCUUUACGAGGAUGGGGCUGCAAGGAAUGGUGGUGGAUGUGCAUAUGGCGGAUCUCCUGGGCUCACGGGCACGCUCCACCCUCUCGUUGGACUUCACUUAGAAAACACAAGUUCAAAGAUGAAAGUACGCAGCAGAGCAUUAAAUCUGGCACAGGUCACACGCCCAUGAAGUCAGCCCUGCCUCUGGACAACAGCCAGCAAGGAAGUGAACCUGCCGAUGAACUUGGAAGUGGAUCCCCCCCAGCCGGGCCCUGAGAUGCUCACUGGCCCAGCCAAUACCUCCAUUUUACAGACCCAGCUAAGCCAUGCCCAGAUUCCCGACCCACAGAAAGUGUGAGAUAAUAAAGUGUGUUGUUUUAAGC